RNAcentral lists this ribosomal RNA (373 nucleotides) under uncultured Glomeromycotina. Its description in RNAcentral is "LSU rRNA". Lineage: Eukaryota; Fungi; Glomeromycota. The record is from RNAcentral.
UUGAAAGGGAAACGAUUGAAGUCAGUCGUACCUGCGGGUAAUCAGCCUUUUGGGUGUGAUUUUGUGGAGUGUGAGGAGUUAAACGCCUUCAUGCCUGCAUAUUCGUGCACUUUGGGUGUAUUUGCCCGUGUGGUAAGUUAACAUCAAUUUUGGUGGUCAUAAAAUGGCUGGAGGAAUGUAGCUUCGAUCUCGUAUUGAAGUGUUAUAGCCUUCGGUAGAUGUGAUAAUCGGGAUUGAGGAUUGCAACGGAUACCCCUCGGGGCUACCUGUCUGAUCUCUGAUCGUUGCUCUGGUGCCGAAAGCUUGCUUACGGAUAUCAAAGUCGAUGGUCAAUAGGUUAGAACGGGUUAAAUUCGUUAAGGAUGUUGACGUA